This 861-nucleotide ribosomal RNA is filed under the name Dendrocorticium polygonioides. RNAcentral's name for it is "partial large subunit ribosomal RNA". It matches the Rfam family "Eukaryotic large subunit ribosomal RNA", at positions 77 to 922 of the family's 3401-position model. Lineage: Eukaryota; Fungi; Basidiomycota; Agaricomycetes; Corticiales; Punctulariaceae. The record is from RNAcentral.
CCCCUAGUAACUGCGAGUGAAGCGGGAAAAGCUCAAAUUUAAAAUCUGGCGUCCUUUGGUCGUCCGAGUUGUAAUCUAGAGAAGUGUUUUCUGUGCUGGACCGUGUACAAGUUUCUUGGAACAGAACAUCAUAGAGGGUGAGAAUCCCGUCUUUGACACGGACUGCCAGUGCUCUGUGAUGCACUCUCGAAGAGUCGCGUUGUUUGGGAAUGCAGCGCAAAAUGGGUGGUGAAUUCCAUCUAAAGCUAAAUAUUGGCGAGAGACCGAUAGCGAACAAGUACCGUGAGGGAAAGAUGAAAAGCACUUUGGAAAGAGAGUUAAACAGUACGUGAAAUUGUUGAAAGGGAAACGCUUGAAGUCAGUCGCGUCUUGCGGAACUCAGCCUUGCUUCUCUGCUCGGUGUAUUUUCCGUUCGACGGGCCAGCAUCGAUUUCGACCGUCGGAUAAAGUGUGAGGGAAUGUGGCAUCUUCGGAUGUGUUAUAGCCCUCGCUCGCAUACGACGGUCGGGAUCGAGGACCGCAGCACGCCUUUUUGGCCGGGGUUCGCCCACGUACGUGCUUAGGAUGCUGGCGUAAUGGCUUUAAACGACCCGUCUUGAAACACGGACCAAGGAGUCUAACAUGCCUGCGAGUGUUUGGGUGGAAAACCCAUGCGCGCAAUGAAAGUGAAAGUUGGGACCUCUGUCGUGGAGGGCACCGACGCCCGGUCUUGAGCCUCGGCGACGGAUCCGCGGUGGAGCAUGUAUGUUGGGACCCGAAAGAUGGUGAACUAUGCCUGAAUAGGGUGAAGCCAGAGGAAACUCUGGUGGAGGCUCGUAGCGAUUCUGACGUGCAAAUCGAUCGUCAAAUUUGGGUAUAGGG